RNAcentral lists this ribosomal RNA (450 nucleotides) under uncultured Glomeromycotina. RNAcentral describes it as "SSU rRNA". It matches the Rfam family "Eukaryotic small subunit ribosomal RNA", at positions 569 to 1024 of the family's 1831-position model. Lineage: Eukaryota; Fungi; Glomeromycota. The record is from RNAcentral.
AGCAGCCGCGGUAAUUCCAGCUCCAAUAGCGUAUAUUAAAGUUGUUGCAGUUAAAAAGCUCGUAGUUGAAUUUCGGGAUCAAUGUGUUGGUCGUGCCUUGGUACGUACUGGCAUUAUCGAUUCCUACCUUCUGAAGAACCUCGAUGUCAUUAAUUUGGUGUCUUGGGGAAUCAGGACUGUUACUUUGAAAAAAUUAGAGUGUUUAAAGCAGGCUCGCGCUUGAAUACAUUAGCAUGGAAUAAUGAAAUAGGACGUUUGAUUCUAUUUUGUUGGUUUCUAGGAUCGACGUAAUGAUUAAUAGGGAUAGUUGGGGGCAUUAGUAUUCAAUUGUCAGAGGUGAAAUUCUUGGAUUUAUUGAAGACUAACUACUGCGAAAGCAUUUGCCAAGGAUGUUUUCAUUAAUCAAGAACGAAAGUUAGGGGAUCGAAGACGAUCAGAUACCGUCGUAGU